This 1607-nucleotide ribosomal RNA is filed under the name metagenome. RNAcentral's name for it is "bacterial LSU rRNA". It matches the Rfam family "Bacterial large subunit ribosomal RNA", at positions 1293 to 2925 of the family's 2925-position model. The record is from RNAcentral.
UAUGCCGGAAUGAGUAGCGAGAUAAAGGUGAGAAUCCUUUAGGCCGAAUAUCCAAGGUUUCCAGGGUAAAGCUGAUCUGCCCUGGGUAAGUCGGGGCCUAAGGCGAGGACGAGAGUCGUAGCCGAUGGACAACAGGUGGAGAUUCCUGUACUGCGGUAUGACAGAACUGUGGGGACACGUAAGGAAAGCGGAAGCCGGGAAUGGAAAGCCCGGUGCAAGCAGGGUACCAGUCGCUUAGGAAAAACCGGGCGGCAAUGGGAAGCUGUGAUGCGGAGCGAAAUACAAGUAGCGAAGUCCGUGAGCCAUGCGUCAAGAAAAGCCGCUAUUGUUUAUACCGUACCCGUACCGUAAACCGACACAGGUGGAUGAGGAGAGAAUCCUAAGGCCGGCGGAAGAAGCAUUGUCAAGGAACUCGGCAAAAUGACCCCGUAACUUCGGGAGAAGGGGUGCCACUGAGAAGUGGCCGCAGAGAAUAGGCUCAAGCAACUGUUUAGCAAAAACACAGGUCUAUGCGAAACCGAAAGGUGAGGUAUAUGGGCUGACGCCUGCCCGGUGCUGGAAGGUUAAGAGGAGAGGUUAGCGCAAGCGAAGCUUUGAAUUUAAGCCCAAGUAAACGGCGGCCGUAACAAUAACGGUCCUAAGGUAGCGAAAUUCCUUGUCGGGUAAGUUCCGACCCGCACGAAAGGCGUAAUGAUUUGAGCGCUGUCUCGACAAUGCAUCCGGUGAAAUUGAAGUACCAGUGAAGAUGCUGGUUACCUGCGCCAGGACGGAAAGACCCCAUGGAGCUUUACUCCAGUUUGGUACUGGGGUCCGGUAUUGCAUGUACAGGAUAGGUGGGAGGCUAGGAAGCAGUAACGCCAGUUGCUGCGGAGCCGCUGUUGGGAUACCACCCUUGCAGUACUGGGCUUCUAACCAGCCGCCGUGAACCGGCGGUGGGACAAUGCCAGACGGGGAGUUUGACUGGGGCGGUCGCCUCCGAAAGGGUAUCGGAGGCGCCCAAAGGUUCCCUCAGAAUGGACGGAAACCAUUCGAAGAGUGCAAAGGCAGAAGGGAGCUUGACUGCGACACCGACGGGUGGAGCAGGUACGAAAGUAGGGCUUAGUGAUCCGGUGGUAUUAAGUGGGAAUGCCAUCGCUCAACGGAUAAAAGCUACCCUGGGAUAACAGGCUUAUCACUCCCAAGAGUUCACAUCGACGGAGUGGUUUGGCACCUCGAUGUCGGCUCAUCGCAUCCUGGGGCUGUAGUAGGUCCCAAGGGUUGGGCUGUUCGCCCAUUAAAGCGGUACGCGAGCUGGGUUCAGAACGUCGUGAGACAGUUCGGUCCCUAUCCGGCGUGGGCGUAGGAUAUCUGAGAGGAGCUGUCCUUAGUACGAGAGGACCGGGAUGGACGGACCGCUGGUGUACCGGUUAGACUGCCAAGUCUACGGCCGGGUAGCCAAGUCCGGAAGGGAUAAACGCUGAAGGCAUCUAAGCGUGAAGCCCUCCUCAAGAUGAGAUGUCCCAUUCGAAAGAAGUAAACCCCCUUGAAGACGACGAGGUAGAUAGGGCAGGGGUGGAAGUGUGGUAACACAUGGAGCUGACUGUUACUAAUAGGGUGAGGGCUUGACC